This 1750-nucleotide long non-coding RNA is filed under the name Helianthus annuus (common sunflower). Its description in RNAcentral is "hypothetical non coding rna". Lineage: Eukaryota; Viridiplantae; Streptophyta; Magnoliopsida; Asterales; Asteraceae. The record is from RNAcentral.
GACGCAAGCAGAAAACACGCUAAAGGCUCCCUGGAUGCACCAUUCUUCAGCCUUGGCCCAAAGUUCUCUUCUUUCUUGCUCAUCUCAAUUGAUUUUAUACAGAACCAGAUCUUGCUGGAUUUGUUAUUCGGUGUUGAAGUCUUGAGUUCGUUGGCCGAGCUUCCGAAUGUGAUCAAGGUUAUAAAAUGGAUCUCAACUUUAUUGAUGAAGAGGUAAUGUCUGUGUGUGUUUAAAAUAAAUCAUGAUUCUAUGAAAUUUGAUUGAUAUGUUUGUAGCUUUUGAUUUUGUCUUUGAUUUGUUAUUGUUUAUUCAGAUGCUUGCAUUGGUGUACCAUGUGAUUACGAGUAGAUUGAUUUUGAUAUGUGUGUAAAAGGGAGAAAUCCUAAUGCAAUGAAAUUUGAUUGAUAUGUUUGUAGCUUUUGAUUUUGUCUUUGAUUUAUUAUUGUUUAUUCAGAUGCUUGGAUUGGUGUACCAUGUGAUUACGAGUAGAUUGAUUUUGAUAUGUUUGUAAAAAGGAGAAAUCCCAAUGCAAAUUAGAAAACCUGGUGAUGUCUGUUUAUUCAUCAUGGUUUGUAUCGAUUUGAAUAUUAUGCACAAACUGAAGGUUUGUAUGCUAAAUGUUCUUCAGGUAGAUCUUGCUGGAUUUGUUAUUUGGUGUUGAAGUCUUGAGUUCGUUGACCAAGCUUCCGAAUGUGAUCAAGGAUAUAAAAUGAUUUUAUGAAAUUUGUUUGAUAUGUUUGUAGCUUUUGAUUUUGUCUUUGAUUUGUAUAGAUUCUUUAUUGUUUAUUCAGAUGCUUGCAUUGGUCGAUGAAAGCUGUUAAAGAGGAAGCACUUGUGUACCUAAGGCCUGAUCAACCAAAGGAAAACCGCUGCUUAGUAACAGCAGUGGUUCAGUAUCUACAGCGGAUUACAUAAGAGAAGCUGAUGUGUCAGCUAGAGAGCAUGUCCAACAAUGCUUUUCUUAUGUCAUCCAACAGUGAGGUGGCAGCGAUAGAGGAAGCAUAGUGACAUCAUAAUUCAAAGAUCUGUCAUCCAAACCACUGCCCUAACUUUUAAUUUCAAAGGUCUGGCCCACAUUCAAUUAUGAAACCGCUGAUGUUCAUUGAAAUUUCAAACGGCUGAUGCUCAUUAAAAUGGGAGGGUAAUUUGAAAUUUCAAACGAAUUGAAGCGGUGGUUCUUGUGUAAUAGUGUUUAGUGUAUCGGUGUUUAGAUUUUGUUACAGCUUCGAUGACGGUUGUCAGAUUUAUUAAAAUGUAAUUGCUACAGUUUGAAUAUUAUUGUUAUUAUAUUAUCAUCUGUUGAUCGUGGUCUGUUAAAGCACUGCUCUUAAACAUUCUCUGUUGAACUGCAUCAUCUGUUAGUCCAUAGGAGAGGUUCUCUUUGGCAGACCUUUGAUUGAACCGGAGCGGUAUUUAUCAGCAGAUGUUCAUCAUGAGGCACUGCUGUAGACAGAUGUUUGAAAUCUUCUGUUGAAGUGUAUCACUGUUAAGUCACAGCAGAUGUUAGCAAUUUAUACUAUGGAAUGAUCAGCAGAUGUUAUGUUUUGUAGACCUUUGUUUCAACAGCAGAUGUUAGCUUUAUGAUACUUUUGUAUUUAUAUUCAGUAGUAGAGGUUGUUUUAUCAGCAGAGGUUAUUUGCUGUAACAGUCUUUAUGUUUAUUAGCAGAGGUUGUUUUAUCAGCAAAGGUUAUUUGCUAUAACAGUGUUUGUGUUUAUUAGCAGAGGUUGUGUUUAUUAGCAGAGGUUAUU